Molecule: ribosomal RNA, 497 nt
Filed under: uncultured bacterium
Lineage: Bacteria
Description: partial 16S ribosomal RNA
Rfam family: Bacterial small subunit ribosomal RNA
Source: RNAcentral
GAUGAACGCUGGCGGCGUGCCUAAUACAUGCAAGUCGAGCGAACGGACGAGAAGCUUGCUUCUCUGAUGUUAGCGGCGGACGGGUGAGUAACACGUGGAUAACCUACCUAUAAGACUGGGAUAACUUCGGGAAACCGGAGCUAAUACCGGAUAAUAUUUUGAACCGCAUGGUUUAAAAGUGAAAGACGGUCUUGCUGUCACUUAUAGAUGGAUCCGCGCUGCAUUAGCUAGUUGGUAAGGUAACGGCUUACCAAGGCAACGAUGCAUAGCCGACCUGAGAGGGUGAUCGGCCACACUGGAACUGAGACACGGUCCAGACUCCUACGGGAGGCAGCAGUAGGGAAUCUUCCGCAAUGGGCGAAAGCCUGACGGAGCAACGCCGCGUGAGUGAUGAAGGUCUUCGGAUCGUAAAACUCUGUUAUUAGGGAAGAACAUAUGUGUAAGUAACUGUGCACAUCUUGACGGUACCUAAUCAGAAAGCCACGGCUAACUACGUG